AUGGCAGAGAUGCUCACAGGUGACAGGAUUUUCCGGGCCGCCGAAUUCAUAUCUCUCUUCCAAAGGAUCUUCGAAGUGGUGGGCAUGCCGGACGACACGACGUGGCCGGGGUUCACGUCGCUGCCGCACGCCGCCCCGCCGCCGCUGGUGCCGGGGCAGCAGAGCAUGCUGCGAGAUCUGUUCCCGGAGGAGGUGCUGUCCGCGGAGGGAUUCCAGGUCCUCAACGGCCUUCUUACAUGCAACCCCGACAAGCGGCUGACGGCGGCCGCUGCGCUGAAGCUCCCGUGGUUCGCCGCCGCUGCUGCAAAUGCCCGCUCUUCUGCUCCUACUGCUGAUGGUUUGGCUUCUCGAUGA
RNAcentral lists this ribosomal RNA (354 nucleotides) under Triticum aestivum (bread wheat). RNAcentral's name for it is "partial small subunit ribosomal RNA". Lineage: Eukaryota; Viridiplantae; Streptophyta; Magnoliopsida; Poales; Poaceae. The record is from RNAcentral.